Molecule: small RNA, 2336 nt
Filed under: Pongo abelii (Sumatran orangutan)
Lineage: Eukaryota; Metazoa; Chordata; Mammalia; Primates; Hominidae
Description: retained intron
Source: RNAcentral
UGAAAACAGCCUUUAAAAAUUUCAUUGAGAAAGUAGAGGCUCUAACUAAGGAGGAACUGGAAUUUGAAGUGCCUUUUAGGGACUUGGGGUAACAUAUCUUCUUUUUGGCCUGAAGUGUCACCGGUCUGUCUUUUGGUACAAUAAAUUAUUCUUCCUUUAAUAAUAAUUUAACAUAUCGUAUCCUUUUUUCCUAUGACUAAUAAUCUUUGAGACAUCCAUUUCUUCUUGAAAAUGUUUAAGGGUUUAGGUGAGUGGCUAACUCUUAAAGAGGCUUCCUCUGGAUGAGUCUCCAGUGAGUAUGCUGGAGCUGUUUGGAAUGGGGAGAGGGAAGAAGUGUGUCUGUUGUGGUAGGAGCAGUCUCUCUCGUGAUGAGCUCAGUCUUAAAAGUUUCUCUCUUCCAGAUUUAACGGAGCUCCCUAUAGGAGUACCUGCCUCCUUCAGCCCACUAGUAGUGCGCUGGUAAAUGCUACGGAAUGGCCACCUUUUGUGGUGACAUUGGAUGAGGUAGAGCUGAUCCACUUUGAGCGGGUGCAGUUUCACCUGAAGAACUUUGAUAUGGUAAUCGUCUACAAGGACUACAGCAAGAAAGUGACCAUGAUCAACGCCAUUCCUGUAGCCUCUCUUGACCCCAUCAAGGAAUGGUUGAAUUCCUGCGACCUGAAGUACACAGAAGGAGUACAGUCCCUCAACUGGACUAAAAUCAUGAAGACCAUUGUUGAUGACCCUGAGGGCUUCUUCGAACAAGGUGGCUGGUCUUUCCUGGAGCCUGAGGGUGAGGGGAGUGAUGCUGAAGAAGGGGAUUCAGAGUCUGAAAUUGAAGAUGAGACUUUUAAUCCUUCAGAAGAUGACUAUGAAGAGGAAGAGGAGGACAGUGAUGAAGAUUAUUCAUCAGAAGCAGAAGAGUCAGACUAUUCUAAGGAGUCAUUGGGUAGUGAAGAAGAGAGUGGAAAGGAUUGGGAUGAACUGGAGGAAGAAGCCCGAAAAGCGGACCGAGAAAGUCGUUACGAGGAAGAAGAAGAACAAAGUCGAAGUAUGAGCCGGAAGAGGAAGGCAUCUGUGCACAGUUCGGGCCGUGGCUCUAACCGUGGUUCCAGACACAGCUCUGCACCCCCCAAGAAAAAGAGGAAGUAACUUCUGAACUUUGGCCCUGAGCUCCAUUCUUCCUCCAGCCAACCCCUGAAAAUUUUACAUGACAUAGAAACUGUAUUUUUCCUUUUGUUUUCAUUUGACGUUUUGCCAUUUGUGUUUAUGGGUUUAGGGGGCCAUUUGUGUGGACCAAUCUACUCGGGGAAUUCCAGGCCCACCAGGACACGUGCCAAUGGCCCCAUUCAGAUGGCAAGGGAGGAGGUGUUCUUGAAGACAGGAGGAGGCUCCCGCUGUUAAUAAAUAUUGUUUCAUUCUUCUCUCUUCCUGUCACCUUCUGCCAGGACAUCGAUGGCUUCUGACAUCUUAUUAUUUGGUGUCUCAAAGCUGUAUUUCCAAGACAGUGGUGACCCUGUAAUUAAGGUGACCCUUAAUUACCCGUAUCAUGACCAGCACAUUCAAUCCUCCAACCCACCCUACUGCCAUGACCUUCCUCACAUCUCUUAAGUUUUAUCUUUGCAAUACUCAAGGUUCUUGGAAAUUUGCUGAUGGUUGUGAUAAACCAUACAACUUGAGCUAGUGAGGCAGAUUGGGCUGGUGCCUUCGUCUGAGUUUUCCUGCUUUCCUGCCUCAUGCAGAUUCUGAGGUAUAUCUGCUGCCUUGGAAGACAUAAGAAGCAGUGAUACUCCCUGGCUCGGUUAUUUUCUCCAUACAAUGCACACAUGGUACAAUGAUAGAAGGCAAAAUUGCCACUGUCUUCUUUUUUUCUCAUAUAUCUAAGGAAGAUAUAUCAGGUUGUGCCUCAUGUACCGCUUCUAGUGAAAUGUAGAGGAAGGCUCAAAGGAGUCAACAUUUAGAUCUGGAAGGGACAAGUCAUGCCUUGGGCCUAGAAUACCCUGACGAGAAAAGAGAAGAGGAAGGGAGGCCAUAUCUACAACACAGCCUCUCAGCACUGCUGCUCCUUAUUUUAACUUUGUCUUGCAUUGUCCUGUAUUUAUCACAGUUUCUGUUGAACAGCUUUUCAAGUAUUUGGGGAGUUUAUCUUGCCAUCCUCCCCUUCUGGUUCUCUGCACCCACCUGUCCCACUGCAGUUCCUUCCGUGCUCUGUGACUUUAAGAGAAGAAGGGGGGAGGGGUCCCGGAUUUUAUGUUUGUUUGUUUUUUCUCCUUAGCAGUAGGACUUGAUAUUUUCAAUUUUGGAAGAACUAAAAGAUGAAUAAACUGGGUUUUUUUUUUGUUGUUGUUUGUUUUUGU